RNAcentral lists this ribosomal RNA (370 nucleotides) under uncultured prokaryote. RNAcentral's name for it is "bacterial SSU rRNA". It matches the Rfam family "Bacterial small subunit ribosomal RNA", at positions 524 to 896 of the family's 1533-position model. The record is from RNAcentral.
UACGGAGGGUGCAAGCGUUAUCCGGAAUCAUUGGGUUUAAAGGGUCCGCAGGCGGGCAUAUAAGUCAGUGGUGAAAGGCUACAGCUCAACUGUAGACCUGCCAUUGAUACUGUAAGUCUUGAAUUCCCUUGAAGUGGGCGGAAUGUGUAGUGUAGCGGUGAAAUGCAUAGAUAUUACACAGAACACCGAUAGCGAAGGCAGCUCACUAGGCCUGGAUUGACGCUCAGGGACGAAAGCGUGGGGAUCAAACAGGAUUAGAUACCCUGGUAGUCCACGCUGUAAACGAUGAUUACUCGUUUUCGGCGAUAUACAGUCGGAGACUAAGCGAAAGUGAUAAGUAAUCCACCUGGGGAGUACGAUCGCAAGAUUG